This 726-nucleotide small RNA is filed under the name Pongo abelii (Sumatran orangutan). RNAcentral's name for it is "processed transcript". The record is from RNAcentral. Lineage: Eukaryota; Metazoa; Chordata; Mammalia; Primates; Hominidae.
UUUAAAGCAGUGAUAUUUUCAAGCCAUGUAGUUUAGUGACUUGCUGAAAUGGGCUAGGGAAUCUAAUUUCAAAUGGGCAAAAAGAUAAACAAACUAUUUUGCUUUAAUUUUCUAGUUCAGUGUUUUAGGGGUAAAUCAAAACUAUGCAAAUGUCAGAUCAGAAAGAAAGUUAAAAAUCAUAUAGAAAGACUUCUGGAUACUGAAGAUGAGCUCAGUGACAUUCAGACUGACUCAGUCCCAUCUGAAGUCCGGGACUGGUUGGCUUCUACCUUUACACGGAAAAUGGGGAUGACAAAAAAGAAACCUGAGGAAAAACCAAAAUUUCGGAGCAUUGUGCAUGCUGUUCAAGCUGGAAUUUUUGUGGAAAGGAUGUACCGAAAAACAUAUCAUAUGGUUGGUUUGGCAUAUCCAGCAGCUGUCAUCGUAACAUUAAAGGAUGUUGAUAAAUGGUCUUUCGAUGUAUUUGCCCUAAAUGAAGCAAGUGGAGAGCAUAGUCUGAAGUUUAUGAUUUAUGAACUGUUUACCAGAUAUGAUCUUAUCAACCGUUUCAAGAUUCCUGUUUCUUGCCUAAUCACCUUUGCGGAAGCUUUAGAAGUUGGUUACAGCAAGUACAAAAAUCCAUAUCACAAUUUGAUUCAUGCAGCUGAUGUCACUCAAACUGUGCAUUACAUAAUGCUUCAUACAGGUAUCAUGCACUGGCUCACUGAACUGGAAAUUUUAGCAAUG